UACUUCAUGAAGGUUUCCUUGUGAUUUUGGCUACAAGGACCCUUCAUGAUAAGC
Molecule: microRNA precursor, 54 nt
Filed under: Heligmosomoides polygyrus
Lineage: Eukaryota; Metazoa; Nematoda; Chromadorea; Rhabditida; Heligmosomidae
Description: microRNA hpo-mir-10043b precursor
Source: miRBase by way of RNAcentral